AACGAACGCUGGCGGCAGGCCUAACACAUGCAAGUCGAGCGCGCCCUUCGGGGUGAGCGGCGGACGGGUGAGUAACGCGUGGGAACGUGCCCUUUUCUACGGAAUAGCCUCGGGAAACUGAGAGUAAUACCGUAUACGCCCUUUGGGGGAAAGAUUUAUCGGAAAAGGAUCGGCCCGCGUUGGAUUAGGUAGUUGGUGGGGUAAUGGCCUACCAAGCCGACGAUCCAUAGCUGGUUUGAGAGGAUGAUCAGCCACACUGGGACUGAGACACGGCCCAGACUCCUACGGGAGGCAGCAGUGGGGAAUCUUAGACAAUGGGGGCAACCCUGAUCUAGCCAUGCCGCGUGAGUGAUGAAGGCCUUAGGGUUGUAAAGCUCUUUCAGCUGGGAAGAUAAUGACGGUACCAGAAGAAGAAGCCCCGGCUAACUCCGUG
RNAcentral lists this ribosomal RNA (433 nucleotides) under uncultured bacterium. RNAcentral describes it as "partial 16S ribosomal RNA". It matches the Rfam family "Bacterial small subunit ribosomal RNA", at positions 29 to 507 of the family's 1533-position model. The record is from RNAcentral.